RNAcentral lists this ribosomal RNA (492 nucleotides) under uncultured bacterium. RNAcentral's name for it is "partial 16S ribosomal RNA". It matches the Rfam family "Bacterial small subunit ribosomal RNA", at positions 29 to 507 of the family's 1533-position model. The record is from RNAcentral.
AGUGAACGCUGGCGGUAGGCCUAACACAUGCAAGUCGAACGGCAGCACAGUAAGAGCUUGCUCUUACGGGUGGCGAGUGGCGGACGGGUGAGGAAUACAUCGGAAUCUACUUUUUCGUGGGGGAUAACGUAGGGAAACUUACGCUAAUACCGCAUACGACCUACGGGUGAAAGCAGGGGAUCUUCGGACCUUGCGCGAUUGAAUGAGCCGAUGUCGGAUUAGCUAGUUGGCGGGGUAAAGGCCCACCAAGGCGACGAUCCGUAGCUGGUCUGAGAGGAUGAUCAGCCACACUGGAACUGAGACACGGUCCAGACUCCUACGGGAGGCAGCAGUGGGGAAUAUUGGACAAUGGGCGCAAUCCUGAUCCAGCCAUACCGCGUGGGUGAAGAAGGCCUUCGGGUUGUAAAGCCCUUUUGUUGGGAAAGAAAAGCAGCAGGUUAAUACCCCGUUGUUCUGACGGUACCCAAAGAAUAAGCACCGGCUAACUUCGUG